RNAcentral lists this transfer RNA (77 nucleotides) under Rheinheimera sp. Its description in RNAcentral is "tRNA-Pro". It matches the Rfam family "tRNA". Rfam says of the family: Transfer RNA (tRNA) molecules are approximately 80 nucleotides in length. RNAcentral also lists the same sequence under 4 other names. The record is from RNAcentral. Lineage: Bacteria; Pseudomonadati; Pseudomonadota; Gammaproteobacteria; Chromatiales; Chromatiaceae.
CGGGGUGUGGCGCAGUCUGGUAGCGCGCGAGUUUUGGGUACUUGAGGUCCUAGGUUCGAAUCCUAGUACCCCGACCA